RNAcentral lists this ribosomal RNA (441 nucleotides) under uncultured bacterium. RNAcentral describes it as "bacterial SSU rRNA". It matches the Rfam family "Bacterial small subunit ribosomal RNA", at positions 954 to 1392 of the family's 1533-position model. The record is from RNAcentral.
GCACAACGCGAAGAACCUUACCUGGCCUUGACAUGCACGGAACUUUCCAGAGAUGGAUUGGUGCCUUCGGGAACCGUGACACAGGUGCUGCAUGGCUGUCGUCAGCUCGUGUCGCGAGAUGUUGGGUUAAGUCCCGCAACGAGCGCAACCCUUGUCCUUAGUUGCCAGCACGUAAUGGUGGGAACUCUAAGGAGACCGCCGGUGACAAACCGGAGGAAGGUGGGGAUGACGUCAAGUCAUCAUGGCCCUUACGGCCAGGGCUACACACGUACUACAAUGGUAGGGACAGAGGGCUGCAAGCCGGCGACGGUGAGCCAAUCCCAGAAACCCUAUCUCAGUCCGGAUUGGAGUCCGCAACUCGACUCCACGAAGUCGGAAUCGCUAGUAAUCGCAGAUCAGCAUUGCUGCGGUGAAUACGUUCCCGGGGUCUUGUACACACCG